Molecule: small nuclear RNA, 308 nt
Filed under: Octodon degus (degu)
Lineage: Eukaryota; Metazoa; Chordata; Mammalia; Rodentia; Octodontidae
Description: 7SK RNA (ENSODEG00000022679.1)
Rfam family: 7SK RNA
About the family: 7SK was discovered as an abundant small nuclear RNA in the mid-70s but a possible function has only recently been suggested. Two independent studies have found that 7SK RNA binds the CDK9/cyclin T complex (known as elongation factor P-TEFb).
Source: RNAcentral
GGCUGUGAGGGUGAUCUGGCUGGGACACCCAUCAUCCCACUGGUCGGCAGGGUGGAGGGGCCAAUCCAGGGGUCUAGGAGGGGUACCCUUCCUCCCUCGUUGUCCAUGUGCAUCCCUCCCGGAGCUGUGCCUUCUCAGCGAAAGAGGAUAAUAAUCCGCAAUGGAAAGGGACCAUUUCCUCCUUCAAAGGCGUAAAGUAUUCGCUCCCCUGCUGGGUGCAGCCUCCAAGGAGUUUUCAAGCGCUCACCCCACAGGGCACACUAACUCCCACCCUGCAGCACCUCCCAGGAGCGGAACUGCGGUACCUG